This is a long non-coding RNA of Contarinia nasturtii (swede midge), 1991 nucleotides long. RefSeq lists it as uncharacterized. The record is from RefSeq and is a predicted model, not a curated record. Lineage: Eukaryota; Metazoa; Arthropoda; Insecta; Diptera; Cecidomyiidae. The transcript has 3 exons.
UUCUGCUCUGAAUUAGAUUGGCAAAUGUCACAUGUACAAAAUGCAAUUGGAUUCACCUGUCAAGCUACACACAAUUUUAAGUGGAGACAUCUGAUGUCUGAGUCCGGAAAUUAAUGCAUACACCCAAUAUUUUCAUUCAAAAAUUUUAUAUUAUCGAGAAAGUAAAAGAAAAAGACGUAAAAAAAAUGUUUCAGUAGGAAUAGAUUUUUUAUUAAGAUAAAUAACUAGGGGGAGAUACAAACGAUUAAACCAAGAUUCCAAUGUAUAAUAGAGUGUUUCCGUAGUCAAAAAAUAAAUAAAUGGUAGUCGUUAAUUAAAAGUGCAAAAAAUUCUAAGACAAAUCAUGACAUUUACACAAAGCAUCGAAUGAUAUUGACACUUCCCGAAGCAAAAAAUUCUUUAUAGCAAAAUGUGUCUAAUGUCAAAAUAUUGAAUUAGCAUUAUUGAUAUGAACCGAGCCUUAUGACAUUUGACGUUCAUUUCAUUGGUUUUCGUAAUGUCAUAAUCGCCGCUUCAUCCAUACCGAGAACAUGUUUAUCGUUGUAAAUACCAAGUUUACGACAUAAACUACAGCAGUGUUAAUUCCAAUUCAACGUUUCAAUUAUUCUACGAUUUUGUUAAUAAUUCAUAUUAUUUUCGAUAUACGUGCGUUUUGUAUCAAUUUAUUCCGAAUUGUUCAACACUUGAUCGAUCGAUUGAUCCGGAGUCCAAGCAGAUUGUUGAAUUCAAAUCACCGAAAAUGGCGAAUCGUUUCAAGCCAUCCAUACCAGCGAAGGGAGAAACGAAGGAUGAGAUUACAACGAUCAAAUGUGCGCUGAAGACAAUCAUUCGCCCACAAUUCCAGCAAGCACUGAUGAGCAAAAUAACGGACCUGAGUUUGCAAGCCACUUCAAUUUGCUUUUUGGGCUCAUUACUGUUCUUGUUCGAGGUGCAAAAGGCGUACGAACAUAGGCAUUGAGGAUAAUGAUUUCGCAUUCUUUGGUCGAAGUGGAGAAAAAAAGAUCCAACUCUGCUUUAACCAAGUGCUAUGGCAUAACAAUCAGCCACCGAAACCGAAGUCGACGUACAGACCACGAGGAACAAAGCCACGAGAACCACUACUUUGACUUUGACACAGACUGUGGACCACAACACACAAGAAGUGAUCGAUUCAAGACGUGCCAUAAUUUUGUUCCUGAUCCAGCCUUUGAAUUGCCGUGAUAAUUGUGACACAAAAGAGCCGUCGACAACAAAAAGUGGAACGAUCAAAACCAAACCAAAUCAUCAAAUGAUCAAUCGUAUUUACAUUAUUUUUUGACAACGCGAUUGAUGUUGCCGAAGAAGUGUAUGUCGUCGAUGAAAGUGAGAUGGAUGUUGAAAUGGUGAAUGCUCCCGAAGAAGAAAAAAAUCAAGAGGAAAGAGUAUUGAAACCCGUUUGCCAUCGCUGCUAUAUGUAUUUUAUACAAAGGUCGCUUUGAAUUAUUCAUGAGCUAUACUCCCGAAAUAUUCAGACGAAAUUCAGGAAUCAAAAUAUACUUCAACGGAUUCAAUACAUAUGUGGUUGAGGCCAAGCCAAAUGCAGCAGCUUCUAAGUUUUAGUUUUGAUUUUUGAAUUUAACAAUAAUAAUUAUAAUAUCUCUAGGCCAGUACCUUAAAUGUGGUUGAACUAAAUUUGUUAAACCACUUGGUAUAGAAGACGAAUAUGCAAUUACCAUUAUCAUUAUCUCCUUAACCCUCUAGUGCAUAGCCCUGCCUUUAGGCAAUAUUAUAAAAUAUUGUCUAAAAUAUAUAAUAAAAAACAAAUGAUUCUAUUUAUGAAUUCAAAUAUAUUCAGCAGGGCUCAGGCUUUCAUUUGCCGGUCAUUUGACAAGUGAAAAUAAAGCAGUUGUUUAAUUAUAAACACAGAUGUACGCGAAAACAGACAUUUGACAAAUUAUCUCUCUCUUCGUUUAUAGCAAUUUUAUAUCAGUUUAAACAAUGGUUUCGAUUGUUCUCCAAAUUUUGAGCAAUAG